AGUGAACGCUGGCGGCAGGCCUAACACAUGCAAGUCGAGCGGCAGCGGGUCCUUCGGGAUGCCGGCGAGCGGCGGACGGGUGAGGAAUGCAUCGGAAUCUGCCCUGUCGUGGGGGAUAGCCUAGGGAAACUUAGGCUAAUACCGCAUACGACCCACGGGUGAAAGCGGGGGAUCGCAAGACCUCGCGCGAUAGGAUGAGCCGAUGUCCGAUUAGCUAGUUGGCGGGGUAAAGGCCCACCAAGGCGACGAUCGGUAGCUGGUCUGAGAGGAUGAUCAGCCACACUGGGACUGAGACACGGCCCAGACUCCUACGGGAGGCAGCAGUGGGGAAUAUUGGACAAUGGGCGCAAGCCUGAUCCAGCCAUGCCGCGUGGGUGAAGAAGGCCUUCGGGUUGUAAAGCCCUUUUGUCCGGGAAGAAAUCGUCUGGGCUAAUACCCCGGGCGGAUGACGGUACCGGAAGAAUAAGCACCGGCUAACUUCGUG
This 484-nucleotide ribosomal RNA is filed under the name uncultured bacterium. Its description in RNAcentral is "partial 16S ribosomal RNA". It matches the Rfam family "Bacterial small subunit ribosomal RNA", at positions 30 to 507 of the family's 1533-position model. The record is from RNAcentral.